Molecule: long non-coding RNA, 538 nt
Organism: Rhododendron vialii
Lineage: Eukaryota; Viridiplantae; Streptophyta; Magnoliopsida; Ericales; Ericaceae
Exons: 2
Source: RefSeq, a predicted model, not a curated record
UCUCUCUCUCUCUCUCUCUGUGUUAAAUUUGUACACAAAAUGAUGUCAUGGACUCAUGGAUAUUAUUCCCUCAUAAUCGUUAUGUUGAAACGAUGCCAUAUCUCAGCAUGCUUUCUUAACUGCUUUCAAGGGACCAUCAGAAUUUUUACUGGCAACUAAAGGACUGAUGGACAAAGAAAAUUACACCAUCGGUUUGUCCAAGUUGUCAACAUAGAAGAUCUACACAUUUUCUUUUUAGGUUGAGUGUUGGGGUUCUGGUUGGAUUGUUAGGCGAGGAUUAAGGAUGCCAAAUUACGCAUCAGUUUCCACUUGGGCAUUAUUUGUUAUUCAUCACUAAUAAGGGAGUAGCAUGAAAAAUGGAGCUCAUGCUGGAGGGAGUGGAGAAAAGGAAACAAAAGAAGCUAAGAAAGUUAUGCGAGUAUGUGCUUUUUGUACGUCUUUACACCAUGUAGACUUGAACUCAUAUCGUAAAAGUCUCUGUAUAGUCUUUAAAUGUAUUCAACGUUAUUCAUGCUGCUUGCCUUUAAAAAAAAAACAA